Long non-coding RNA from Oncorhynchus keta (chum salmon), 1840 nucleotides. RefSeq lists it as uncharacterized. The transcript has 3 exons. Lineage: Eukaryota; Metazoa; Chordata; Actinopteri; Salmoniformes; Salmonidae. The record is from RefSeq and is a predicted model, not a curated record.
UUAUUGUGGUUAUCCUCUAGGUUAGGGUUAAUAUUGUGGUUAUCUUCUAGGUUAGGGUUAAUAUUGUGGUUAUCCUCUAGGUGGGGUUAGGGUUAAUAUUGUGGUUAUCCUCUAGGUUAGGGUUAAUAUUGUGGUUAUCCUCUAGGUGGUGUUAGGGUUAAUAUUGUGGUUAUCCUCUAGGUUAGGGUUAAUAUUGUGGUUAUCCUCUAGGUGGUGUUAGGGUUAAUAUUGUGGUUAUCCUCUAGGUUAGGGUUAAUAUUGUGGUUAUCCUCUAGGUGGGGUUAGGGUUAAUAUUGUGGUUAUCCUCUAGGUUAGGGUUAAUAUUGUGGUUAUCCUCUAGGUGGGGUUAGGGUUAUUAUUGUGGUUAUCCUCUAGGUUAGGGUUAAUAUUGUGGUUAUCCUCUAGGUUAGGGUUAAUAUUGUGGUUACCUUCUAGGUUAGGGUUAAUAUUGUGGAUAUCCUCUAGGUUAGGGUUAAUAUUGUGGUUAUCCUCUAGGGGGGGUUAGGGUUAAUAUUGUGGUUAUCCUCUAGGUUAGGGUUAUUAUUGUGGUUAUCCUCUAGGUGGGGUUAGGGUUAAUAUUGUGGUUAUCCUCUAGGUGGGGUUAGGGUUAAUAUUGUGGUUACCUUCUAGGUUAGGGUUAAUAUUGUGGUUACCUUCUAGGUUAGGGUUAAUAUUGUGGUUAUCCUCUAGGGGGGGUUAGGGUUAAUAUUGUGGUUAUCCUCUAGGUUAGGGUUAUUAUUGUGGUUAUCCUCUAGGUGGGAUUAGGGUUAAUAUUGUGGUUAUCCUCUAGGUGGGGUUAGGGUUAAUAUUGUGGUUACCUUCUAGGUUAGGGUUAUUAUUGUGGUUACCUUCUAGGUUAGGGUUAAUAUUGUGGUUACAUUCUAGGUUAGGGUUAUUAUUGUGGUUAUCCUCUAUUUUAGGGUUAUUAUUGUGGUUACCUUCUAGGUUAGGGUUAAUAUUGCUCUCGGUUAGGGUUAAUAUUGUGGUUAUCCUCUAGGUUAGGGUUAAUAUUGUGGUUAUCCUCUAGGUUAGGGUUAUUAUUGUGGUUACCUUCUAGGUUAGGGUUAAUAUUGUGGUUUCCUUCUAGGUUAGGGUUAUUAUUGUGGUUAUCCUCUAGGUGGGGUUAGGGUUAAUAUUGUGGUUAUCCUCUAGGUGGGGUUAGGGUUAAUAUUGUGGUUACCUUCUAGGUUAGGGUUAUUAUUGUGGUUACCUUCUAGGUUAGGGUUAAUAUUGUGGUUACAUUCUAGGUUAGGGUUAUUAUUGUGGUUAUCCUCUAUUUUAGGGUUAUUAUUGUGGUUACCUUCUAGGUUAGGGUUAAUAUUGCUCUCGGUUAGGGUUAAUAUUGUGGUUAUCCUCUAGGUUAGGGUUAAUAUUGUGGUUAUCCUCUAGGUUAGGGUUAUUAUUGUGGUUACCUUCUAGGUUAGGGUUAAUAUUGUGGUUUCCUUCUAGGUUAGGGUUAUUAUUGUGGUUACCUUCUAGGUUAGGGUUAUUAUUGUGGUUACAUUGUUGGUUAGGGUUAAUAUUGCUCUCGGUUAGGGUUAAUAUUGUGGUUAUCCUCUAGGUUAGGGUUAAUAUUGUGGUUAUCCUCUAGGUUAGGGUUAUUAUUGUGGUUAUCCUCUAGGUUAGGGUUAAUAUUGUGGUUAUCCUCUAGGUGGGGUUAGGGUUAAUAUUGUGGUUAUCCUCUAGGUGGGGUUAGGGUUAAUAUUGUGGUUAUCCUCUAGGUUAGCGUUAAUAUUGUGGUUAUCCUCUAGGUGGGGUUCGGGUUAAUAUUGUGGUUAUCCUCUAGGUUAGGGUUAAUAUUGUGGUUAUCCUCUAGGUUAGGGUUAAUAUUGUGGUUACC